RNAcentral lists this ribosomal RNA (978 nucleotides) under Triticum aestivum (bread wheat). Its description in RNAcentral is "partial small subunit ribosomal RNA". The record is from RNAcentral. Lineage: Eukaryota; Viridiplantae; Streptophyta; Magnoliopsida; Poales; Poaceae.
AUGGGAAAUAUUGUCAACACUGUUAGAAGAUUAGUGAAUGUGAUUUCUGAGGGCUUAUCUAGUACAGUAUCACCUAAAGAGAACUGUUCUACAGACGCUGUGGUUGCUAAGGGUUUGGAACGUGGUCCAGCCAGGGAUACACAUAAGAGCAAAGAGUUGAGACCGCACAGUGUUCCUUCUGGAAAUAAUUUGUUUCACUGCGAUGCUUAUGAGAAAUUGAUCAACGGUGAGCUUAAUUUAGGUUGUAGAAGCAGUCCUGAAGCUUCAGAGGACUAUAAAAUGAUACCAAAUGCAGAUAGAGCAGUGUCUGGUCCUUUGGAUGUGAGAGGUUGUGAAAGUACCCCUAAAGCUUUGUUAAGGAGACAAGCCGAGCAGAAAAUAACUAAUGAGAAAGCAUCAAUUCAGGCGAUGGUGCCAACUGGAACUUCAGCCUCUCCAGAUGUGAAACAUCCUAAAACGGUGCUAUCUCCGCUUACCCGCAGUCGCAGUAAGGCUAUGGCUGUUUCCACACCUGAACAUCUCAAACUGAGAAACGCCAGAUCAGGUCAACUAGUAGUUCCACGGUUGGAUUCAGGAAGCCAAAAAAUUAUCUAUGACGUGGCAGAAGUACCUAUCACCCCAUUGGUGGAGCAAAGUUCUGCAGGUAAAGCGUUGCCGAGUACACCAUCACAAAUGAUCAAAACUCCAAUUCCAUAUGGACGAUCUCCACUUCCUCGUAAUAAGGAUAAGGUGUUAUCUGUUGCCACGCCCGAAACUCCCAAACUGAGAAGCUCUAGAUCAGGUCGACUGAUAGUUCCACGUUUGGAUCCAGGAACACAAAAUAUUAUCUAUGACGCGGAUGGUUCUAUCUGCGGCGUAACCAACUCAGAGCUGCAACGGCUUCAAGGGUGCAAUUCGGAACCACCUGCUAAGAGGAGGUCUCGGUGUUCAUCCCCCGACCAUGGCAGGUCCUUGAUAUGGUUCAAGGGUUUGUGGUAA